This 262-nucleotide ribosomal RNA is filed under the name Escherichia coli. RNAcentral's name for it is "partial 16S ribosomal RNA". It matches the Rfam family "Bacterial small subunit ribosomal RNA", at positions 1 to 259 of the family's 1533-position model. Lineage: Bacteria; Pseudomonadati; Pseudomonadota; Gammaproteobacteria; Enterobacterales; Enterobacteriaceae. The record is from RNAcentral.
AAAUUGAAGAGUUUGAUCAUGGCUCAGAUUGAACGCUGGCGGCAGGCCUAACACAUGCAAGUCGAACGGUAACAGGAAACAGCUUGCUGUUUCGCUGACGAGUGGCGGACGGGUGAGUAAUGUCUGGGAAACUGCCCGAUGGAGGGGGAUAACUACUGGAAACGGUAGCUAAUACCGCAUAACGUCGCAAGACCAAAGAGGGGGACCUUCGGGCCUCUUGCCAUCGGAUGUGCCCAGAUGGGAUUAGCUAGUAGGUGGGGUA